UACGUAGGAUCCGAGCGUUAUCCGGAUUUAUUGGGUUUAAAGGGUGCGUAGGUGGAUUGGUAAGUCAGUGGUGAAAGUUUGCAGCUUAACUGUAAAAUUGCCGUUGAAACUGCCGGUCUUGAGUGCAAAUGAGGUAGGCGGAAUGCGUCGUGUAGCGGUGAAAUGCAUAGAUAUGACGCAGAACUCCGAUUGCGAAGGCAGCUUACUGGGAUGCAACUGACGCUUAGGCACGAAAGCGUGGGUAUCAAACAGGAUUAGAUA
RNAcentral lists this ribosomal RNA (261 nucleotides) under uncultured prokaryote. RNAcentral describes it as "partial 16S ribosomal RNA". It matches the Rfam family "Bacterial small subunit ribosomal RNA", at positions 524 to 784 of the family's 1533-position model. The record is from RNAcentral.